This is a long non-coding RNA of Xenia sp. Carnegie-2017, 282 nucleotides long. RefSeq lists it as uncharacterized. The record is from RefSeq and is a predicted model, not a curated record. NCBI's taxonomy places the organism in Eukaryota, Metazoa, Cnidaria, Anthozoa, Malacalcyonacea, Xeniidae. The transcript is spliced from 3 exons.
UCAACGCAGGUACAUGGGUAAUGAGUUAUCAUAUAAAGUUAAAACUGAUGAAUCAUUAGUAGAGUACAAGUUAAAUGUUUUUCAAAUAAUUUAGGUAGACAGACUAAGCGUGAUUUGCAAAAGCAAUCCUCUUAUGAAUUAGCUCUACGUUGUCUAUGGGCAUUAUGUACACAGUACACAAAUUUAAAUGAACUUAUAUUUCAUCUAUUAUGUAUGCUGAGAAAUCACAAAUUUUGAAUGAAGAAUGCAAUACACUCUUAUAUAUCUAAGAUUUAACACUUA